This is a long non-coding RNA of Triticum aestivum (bread wheat), 552 nucleotides long. RefSeq lists it as uncharacterized. NCBI's taxonomy places the organism in Eukaryota, Viridiplantae, Streptophyta, Magnoliopsida, Poales, Poaceae. The transcript has 3 exons. The record is from RefSeq and is a predicted model, not a curated record.
GCCCACCCAUCGCCUUCCUCCCCAAGUCGGUCUCCAGCUCCCACACGUCAACGCCACCACGGCUUGGAUCGGACCACGCGAGAUUGGCGCUUUCCCCUAACCCCCUCUCCGAUCUGUGGCCGCGGGGAGACUCGUCUCGAUUCCCUUGUCUGAUUCCCAACAUCGCCGCUCCAGAUCCGCGCCGAUUUCUUGCUCGCCGAUCUUGCCAGAGUCUGCCGCCUGAAACUUCUGUAGCCCGUCGAGUUCGUCGCCAACCGAGGGGCACACCGGAGCAACCAGCCGCUGCCGAGCCGAAGCUCCUGGGCAGCCGUCGUGCACGUCUUCAUCGCCGUCGCACAGGACACCCCCGUCGUCGUUUCGGUCACCGCUACCUCCGCCGCUCAAAGCCGCAUCCGCCCGCCCCUUCACCCUCGCCGGAGGAUCGCCGGAGAGUCGCCGUCACCGAUCCCCGACCCGCCGCCGCUUCCCCUGCUUCUGAGAUUGCUCGGAGCAUGACGAGUAGAAUUAUCAGGAAUUGUGAGUGCGACAAACUUCAUCAAACAUACAGGCAAG